Molecule: unclassified non-coding RNA, 211 nt
Filed under: Hevea brasiliensis (rubber tree)
Lineage: Eukaryota; Viridiplantae; Streptophyta; Magnoliopsida; Malpighiales; Euphorbiaceae
Source: RNAcentral
GGUCAUGCCUUCUAUCGGUUACCUCUGAAAUUCAGUUCAAAUUCAGCCAGUUCAUCUGAAUCUAUGUCAUUUUCCACUAUCUUCGUGUUUGUCAUGGUUCCUGAGAUGCAAAAUCUUAGUGGCCACGGCAUAGCGUUCACUAUCUCACCAUCCUUGGACUUCAGCCUUGCUGUAGCAAGUCAGUAUUUGGGACUCCUCAACACUUCAAACG